UGUUCUUUUAGGGAAAACCUGUCCUGCGGGAUGGAGGAUGUUCAGUUGUUCUUGUUAUUUCCUCUCUACAACAACUGGCUCCUGGGAUGCAGGCAGAACGGACUGCAGGAAGAGAGGAGGAGAUCUGGUGGUGAUAGAUGAUGAUGAUGAACAGAAAUUUGUUCUUGCGUUGUCUGAGAAGUCACCAUGGAUUGGUUUGAGUGAAGAAACGGAGGGAUCCUGGAAGUGGGUUGAUGGCACUCCUCUGAGUUCUGAACUUAAAAAAUUCUGGGGACAAGGCCAGCCUGAUAAUGCUUUUGGAGGUGAAGCUUGUGCUCAGAUCUGGGAAAACUACAAGACAUGGAAU
Non-coding RNA from Poecilia reticulata (guppy), 346 nucleotides. Lineage: Eukaryota; Metazoa; Chordata; Actinopteri; Cyprinodontiformes; Poeciliidae. The record is from RefSeq and is a predicted model, not a curated record.